Molecule: ribosomal RNA, 492 nt
Filed under: uncultured bacterium
Lineage: Bacteria
Description: partial 16S ribosomal RNA
Rfam family: Bacterial small subunit ribosomal RNA
Source: RNAcentral
AGUGAACGCUGGCGGUAGGCCUAACACAUGCAAGUCGAACGGCAGCACAGUAAGAGCUUGCUCUUACGGGUGGCGAGUGGCGGACGGGUGUGGAAUACAUCGGAAUCUACUUUUUCGUGGGGGAUAACGAAGGGAAACUUACGCUAAUACCGCAUACGACCUACGGGUGAAAGCAGGGGAUCUUCGGACCUUGCGCGAUUGAAUGAGCCGAUGUCGGCUUAGCUAGUUGGCGGGGUAAAGGCCCACCAAGUCGACGAUCCGUAGCUGGUCUGAGAGGAUGAUCGGCCACACUGGAACUGAGACACGGUCCAGACGCCUACGGGAGGCAGCAGUGGGGAAUAUUGGACAAUAGGCGCAAGCCUGAUCCAACCAUACCGAGUGGGUGAAGAAGGCCUUCGGGUUGUAAAGCCCUUUUGUUGGGAAAGAAAAGCAGCAGGUUAAGACCCCGCUGUUCUGACGGUACCCAAAGAAUAAGCACCGGCUAACUUCGUG